This is an RNA transcript of Vigna radiata var. radiata (mung bean), 4072 nucleotides long. RefSeq lists it as uncharacterized. The record is from RefSeq and is a predicted model, not a curated record. The transcript has 4 exons. NCBI's taxonomy places the organism in Eukaryota, Viridiplantae, Streptophyta, Magnoliopsida, Fabales, Fabaceae.
UGUAUCAAGACGAUAAAAUUAAAAUUUUAUAUUAAGAUAAUGAGAUGAUAAUAUAUAAAACAUGUUAAUUAAAUAUUCGAAGUUAGCAUGGCUCGAUUCAAUUGGUAACAUAAUUUUGAUUGAUUAAGACAAAGAGUUGGUUCAACAAUCUUUUAUACGGGGGGAAGUGGACAUUAGUAACAACUUUUUUUAUUAUUUUACUUACAAAACUAUGAAACGUAAUUUAUAUUUGUGUAAUAAAAAUAAAAAAAAUAGAAUACUUUUGUAGAAUAUUUGUGUAAUAAAAAUUAACAACGAAACGACACUUUCGCAAAUUCCUCUUCCUCUGGGCAAAUUUCUGGAAAAGAUGAUGCAGAGGUUUUCUUUUCUUCCUCGCAUGGUUCGUCCUUCUCUUCCAAUUUGGAAAGAUUUUGGGAUUCCUUGUGAGAAUGGAGCGGUACCCUACUGCUAUUUCUCUGGUUAAAAUCAUGAAGAGGAAGGGAAUCUGCUCUAAUCUGGUCAUUCUCAGCAUCCUCAUGAACUGUUAUUCUCAUAUGGGAAGACUGGGCUUCGGUUUAUCUGUAUUUGCCAACACUCUGAAACGGGGAUAUCAUCCAGAUCCCAUUAUGUUCACUAUCCUAAUCCAAGGUUUCUGUCAAAAAGGUCUAAUAGAUGAUGUUUUUUUGCUUAACAACAAAGUAACAGAAGAAGGGUUUAUACUGGAUGAAGUUACGGAGGGAACGCUCAUCAAGGGGUUAUGCUCUGUGGGACAACCAAAGUCAGCACUGCAAUUGUUUGUGAACAAUAAGGUUUGGUCGAACGUGAGCUAUGCUACAAUGAUUGAUUAUUUGUUCAAAUUUAAUAGUUCCAAAAAAGCAGAAGAAUUAUAUCAUGAAAUGAUUCAAAAAAAAGUUGAAUGUAAUGUUAUUACCUAUACAGUUGUAGUCAAGGGCUUUUGUUCAAUGGGUAGCUUAGAAAAAGCCUGUGNUACAUGUCAUGAAAUGCAAUUAAAUGGCGUGAGGCCAAAUCUUAAUACGUAUACUGUACUCAUGGAUGGAUUUUGUAGCAAAGGAAGGGUCAGGGACGCCACUACUGUCUUUGGCAUGAUUAUUAGAGCGUAUCUCAAACCUGGUGUAAAUAUCUUAAAUUCUUUAAUGCAUGUCUACGAUAUGGUUAAUCAUAUGGAAAACUCUAAAAGAGUGUGGAAUUCAAUGACCCUUAUGGGACUCAACCAUGAUACUUGGAGCUACAAUAUCAUGCUUAAUGUACUUGGAAAAGACAAUAGGACANAAGAGAUUCUAACUUUGUUAUAUGAAAUGGAUGACAACAAUAUCACUNCCGAUCGUGUGACUCGCGAAACUUUUUUAAGGUACCUGGUUAAAUCUCGACCAAUAUAUGGACAGUUUAUUAAAUUAAUGGAUUUUGUAAACCCACCUCAGAAUGUACAAUGGGUACAAAUUUGGAAUAUCCUUUCGAGUGGAUUAUGGAAGGUGGGGAAAGUUGAAGAGGCAAUAAAAAUAUUUUUAUAUCUUUCCCCUAAAGGCAUUGAACUUUUGGUAUACCAUGGAACACCGGGGAACAUAGCCCCGGUGUUCCAUGGUAUACCAAAAGUUCAAUGCCUCAACAAGCAAACCCUUCCUACACAAAUCUAUUAUUAUAAUGGUAUAACUAUUUAAAUUUAAGGCAUCCUCUGUAGGGGAAAGAUAUAAAAAUAUUUUUAUUGCCUCUUCAACUUUCCCCACCUUCCAUAACCCACUCGAAAGGAUAUUCCAAAUUUGUACCCAUUGUACAUUUCGAGGUGGGUUUACAAAAUCCAUUAAUUUAAUAAACUGUCCAUAUAUUGGUCGAGAUUUAACCAGGUACCUUAAAAAAGUUUCGCGAGUCACACGAUCGGNAGUGAUAUUGUUGUCAUCCAUUUCAUAUAACAAAGUUAGAAUCUCUUNUGUCCUAUUGUCUUUUCCAAGUACAUUAAGCAUGAUAUUGUAGCUCCAAGUAUCAUGGUUGAGUCCCAUAAGGGUCAUUGAAUUCCACACUCUUUUAGAGUUUUCCAUAUGAUUAACCAUGUCGUAGACAUGCAUUAAAGAAUUUAAGAUAUUUACACCAGGUUUGAGAUACGCUCUAAUAAUUAUGCCAAAGACAGUAGUGGCGUCCCUGACCCUUCCUUUGCUACAAAAUCCAUCCAUGAGUACAGUAUACGUAUUAAGAUUUGGCCUCACGCCAUUUAAUUGCAUUUCAUGACAUGUANCACAGGCUUUUUCUAAGCUACCCAUUGAACAAAAGCCCUUGACUACAACUGUAUAGGUAAUAACAUUACAUUCAACUUUUUUUUGAAUCAUUUCAUGAUAUAAUUCUUCUGCUUUUUUGGAACUAUUAAAUUUGAACAAAUAAUCAAUCAUUGUAGCAUAGCUCACGUUCGACCAAACCUUAUUGUUCACAAACAAUUGCAGUGCUGACUUUGGUUGUCCCACAGAGCAUAACCCCUUGAUGAGCGUUCCCUCCGUAACUUCAUCCAGUAUAAACCCUUCUUCUGUUACUUUGUUGUUAAGCAAGAAAGCAUCAUCUAUUAGACCUUUUUGACAGAAACCUCGGAUUAGGAUAGUGAACAUAAUGGGAUCUGGAUGAUAUCCCCGUUUCAGAGUGUUGGCAAAUACAGAUAAACCGAAGCCCAGUCUUCCCGUAUGAGAAUAACAGUUCAUGAGGAUGCUGAGAAUGACCAGAUUAGAGCGGAUUCCCUUCCUCUCCAUGAUUUUAACCAGAGAAAUAGCAGUAGGGUACCGCUCCAUUCUCACAAGGAAUCCCAAAAUCUUUCCAACACUCUGAAACGGGGUAUACCAAAAGUAUGAUAUGAUUCUAGCUCUCUUUCAAAAGGGAGAGAGCGGAAGCCUUUCUUCAUGCCAUGAUAUCCAGAGGUUUGUUGAAAUAAAUAGGCAACUUGCUGCUGGGGAACCAUCAGAAAAUGCAACCAGAGGAACAAAGAAGCUUGAGUCAAUUUAAAUUGGGACUGCCACAAAUAGUUCAUUUUUCAACUCUAUUCGGUUUAAAGAAUUUCAUGUGUAAAAUAUAUUAAACAGGUGGGGCCAGGUUUGUCUUGUUGGAAUUGUGGGCAUAUGCUAUUAUUGAAGAGGGGUGUGUGAGGCCACGGAAUCUGACUACUUUUGCUUCUUUUUGUGCAUUUUAAGCCAAACUGAUACAACACAUCAGAGCAAAAGUUGGAAAACCCUUCUUCUCUUAUUGUUCUUGGAGUGAAGUGUUUUGGCUUGUGGCUUCAAUUAGAAUGGAAAAGGAAAAUAUGUAAAGGGGACACAAGAGACCAAUGGAUCAUAUCUUAUGCCAUAAAAACAUUAAAUAAUUAGAUGACACUGCAGAAAGUUAGAUUUCAGAGGAAGGGUCCCAUUCUGAAAUCACAGGAUUAAAAUCAUGAAUGUUUUUUAUAUGUAGUGUGUCACAUCCUUCAUUUUACUUGCACAGAAUCAUAAACGGUUUGUUAUGAUUAUAUCUACAUAGGUGUUUGAAAAGGGAUAGAAAAUCACAUGGUUUAGCAUGUAAGAAAGUCUUUCCAAAUUUGACUUAAGUAUUUAGUUGCUAUGAGGGAGAAAAAUGAGAAGUAAUGUUUUGUACAAAAAUCCUACCUAUUUGCAUCAGUAGUUAAACAAGUUUUGUUAUGUUUUUCUCUCAUGGCAAAUAUGUUUUAUCCUAUUAUAACUUGGGGCAAUUGCCAUAUUUACCUUGAAAUUCUAUGAGAAUAUGGUUUCCUGGUUUACUAGAUAUUUAAAUUGCCCUCACUAAUCAAUAAGUUGAAUAAAGAUUUUGAAAAAAUAAAAUUAUUUUACAUGUUAGAGUUAUUACCCUGAGAUAAAUUUAUGCCCUUGAUCCAUUCACCAUUUAAACCUCAAUGACUUGGGCUAUUGCUCAGAUAACUCAAUUUUAUAUACCUUUUUUAUUGCAUGGUUUUGCUUUUGGGGGAAACUGUCCUUCUUUUUUAAAUGUACAAAUUAGUUUAAGAUCAGGGUUUGUUAUUUAUACUUUUCUCCUUUAUCUUAAUUCCCUUUUCAUAAAAAAAAAUGGCAAGAAGUAUCUUUCCAAUCAGAUAAUU